GCGAAACUCCUGCCUUAAAGCCCUAAAUGGCGGCUUCAAUAUCAGUCCCACUGAGCAUGAAAUUCAUUUACUUAAAUAAAAUCUGAAUCUCAGCCCAAACCUGGGAGAUUCAAAACCUGAGAGCGGUCUUACCAAAGACGCCCGUAUGUCUGGUGAAGUCAGUUGGAUGCAAGCAGUUUGUGCUGGUACCAGGGCCCCAGCUACUGAUGAAGUGGCAGGAGUCCACAGAAGCCUACUUCGAAGUUCCCGGGGCUUCCAGGGGAGAUUGACGAGAUUCCUGGGGAGGCGAUUCAUGACAGCUGAGUUCCUUUUGGAGGAUCCGUCUUCAGGCAGAGCACUGCCUUCCUCAUGUACCAUGCAUCAAGCCCUCUCCCCAGCCUGAAGAACACCAUGUUCCUCUUAGCGAUCAUCAGUAACAAGGCGUGCCACUCGAAGAACUACAAAGAUAAGGGUUUGGGGUUUGUGCUGGGGAAAGCUCAUGACACUAGCUGCAGGAAUAGAGGACUGAGCCUCCCAAGUCCUGGAAAGCAGAGGGAGGAUGCCCCGCUCUGAUUUCCUCAGCACCUUUGCAGAGCUCUUGGUCUCCUGCCUGUGCCCUGCAGGCCUGACUCACCUUCCUCUCUGCACGUGAGACUCUGCACACCUCCUAUCGUGUUUAUUGACGCAUGGCAGCCUCAGCCCUCCAUUUCAUGUGACCUCCCAGCUUUGCUCUCUACAACACCUAACCCAGUCAGUUUCUGUGUCCUAAUUCAAAAUUGCUGGGAGAAAAAAAAGUCUGAUUGGCAUUUGAGUUUGAGAACGAAGGCUUGAAAGAGCCAGUUUGAAGAAUGGGAGCAAGGCCUGGCUAGAGCACUGAUCGACAAACUUUUCCUGUAAAGGGCUGGGUAGUAGAUAUUGCAGGCUUUGCAGGCCAUGAAAUCCACGCUGCAUUGUAGUGGCAUGCAAGCUGCCAUAGCCAAUCUGUAAAUGAAUGAGUGUGGCUGGGUCGCAUUAGCAUUUUAUUUCCAAAAAUAGCAGGUGGCCAGAUUUGGCCCAGGGACUAUAAUUUUCCAAUUCCUGAGAUACUAGAAACAGAAGUGUUUUGUUGUUGUUUUAACUAACUCUUUAUUGAAGUACAGCAAACAAAAGUAUACACAUUAUAGCAUUGUAUGAACUAUCACAGAGUGACUACACGCAUGUAACCACCAACUGUGUGAAGAAAACAUUGCCUGCAUCCCAGAAACUAUGUAUGCACCCUUACUAGUCACUAAUCUCACACUCCUCCCCAAAAGUAACUAAAACUCUGAUUUGUAUUGUCAGUGGUUUCUCCUGUUUUGGACUUUAUAUAAAUGAAGUCAUAUUGUAUGUAUUUCUACUUUCUGUCUAACUUCUUUGUAUGAUAUUCUCCCAGUGGAAUUCAUCUGUAUUGUGGUUUGUACCAAUGGUUCAUUUCUUUUUAUUGUUAUUAUAAUAUUUUAUUGCAUUACUAUAAUAGUAUUUAUUUCAUUCUACUGUAGAUGGACAUUUAACAUUGUUUCUAGUUUGGGGCUGCUGCAUGUCUUUGGAUGAAUAUGUGUACACAUUUUUGUUGGAAAUAGAAUUGCUGGUCCAACAUAGAUAGAUAGAUAGGUAGGUAGAUACAUAGAUAGAUAGAUA
This is a long non-coding RNA of Homo sapiens (human), 1635 nucleotides long. Ensembl annotates it as PAXIP1 antisense RNA 2. Its record names the gene PAXIP1-AS2. The record is from Ensembl. NCBI's taxonomy places the organism in Eukaryota, Metazoa, Chordata, Mammalia, Primates, Hominidae.